CCGCCUCUUUGUUUCGUACGGCAACAUUAACCUCUUUUGGUAUAUACCUGUCUGCAGUGCCCACGUCCAAAGCCAUCAAGCUCCAUCACAUUCGUUUAAUCAGAGUAAUCACGGUUGCGAAGUCGAUUAACGCUCUUCUUUCUCCAACCGUGUUUCUCUGGUUAAACGACUGUGCUGGAACUCUCUUUCACGUCCGACGGGGGGCUUUUUCUUUCAUGUGCUACUGGGUUUCGGAGAAGGAGAUAGAUCUCUGUCUCUGUCUCUCUCCUAUUGCUUUGAAUCUGCUUAACUUGUUCUUUUCUUUUGCCUUUUUGGAUAUUUUUCUGACCAAACACGUGGAUUCAGAAGUGGGGUGAUUGAUUGUCCUUCCUCAUGUGUUACAACCAUCCAGUAGAUGGACUUGUCACCCUCAAUGUUUUGGAAUGAGUGCGAAGAUGAAUAUUUCCAAUUGAUGAUGUUUAGCCCCUCCAAAUUGAUCCUCAUAAUGGUUAGGUCUUUCAUUCUUUAAACAAUCAUUUGGGCCAUUUUUGUUCAAAUCUUAUUAGUGAAUGUUACUAUUCAUAGUUUUUUCCUCUAAACUUUGUUUUAUUCGGUUUGGUAUAGAUAGAGAUGAAAUUGCAUAAGAUAAUGAGGACAAGUGCAAGUAGAGACUCAUAGUUAAAGCUGAAAAUGUUGGGUAACCUAAGAAAAGAAUUAAAAGUGGCUUUUGGGGUGGUAAAAAUAAAGAAGUUAAAAAGCAUGCAAGUCGGUAUGUACAAUACUGUCAAUACAUCACCUAGCACUCUUAAUGGCAACACAAAAUCCACCUCAAACAAUACCUUUUGUAAGCCUAAUUGAACAACCAAAACAGGGUGCAAGACAAACUCGAAAGCAAAGUUAGUUGGUAAAUAGUGGUAUAUACUGGCCAUAAGCAUGCUUUAAGCCUAAUCAAUCUCCUCUCCGGUUGCUGUUACUUGUUGGUUGUUUAUUUGUAUUUUUGUUUUGAAUAAGAGGUUUUCUUCUCUCUAUAUCUACCCUCGUGAGCGAGGAGGAAUAAUUAGGUGUGAAAGUUUAUUUCUCACUGCCUAGAUAGUUCGGUGUGAAGGGUUAUCUCUUAUGGUCGGUUUAAAUAAAUUUUGUUAGGAAAUUUAGUUACCCAUGUCUUAGAUCUAGUCUGCUCGGAGCAAAUCUGCUCUUUAAUUGUAUUUGUACAUGGGUUAGCGAAAGAUUGAAGUCAUAGAUAGCACUUGAUUGUAAGAUUUUUAUUUUUUAUUUUUUAUUUAUUUAUUUAUUUUUGUAUCUGUGACUUUGUAACCUCAUAGCACGUGGCUAUAAUUAUGGAGAGCUUUAUGUUUUGUAUUGUAAGAGCUUUAUACUCGUGAUUACAAAUAUUUUUUUGAAUGGAAAUCUGAGGAUUUCAUUGAGCAUAAAGCUUUUACAGAGUAGCUCAAAAAGCUCUUAGGGUACAAAGUAUAAAGUUCUGCAAAAUCAUAGCCACAUGCUAUGAGGUUACAAAGUUAUAAAAAAAAAAAAAAAAAUCUUACAAUUAAGUGCUAUGUAUGAUUUCAAUAUUUCGUUAGUCUAUGUACAAAUACAGUUAAAGAGUAGAUCUGCUCCGAGCAGACUAGAUCUAAGAUAUGAGUAGCCAAAUUUCUUAAUACAUUUUAUUUAAACCGACCAUGAGAGAUAACACUCACACCGAACUAUCCAGGCCAUGAAAAAUAACCCCUCACGGCCUGGAUAGCUCACUCUAGAGAGAAGAAAUCUCUUAUUCAAAACAAAAAAACACAAACAACCAGUAAGCAGCAACCACAAAAACCUCGCAACCACUGAAACCUCUUAUUUAAAACAAAAGGACAUUUCAUGUUAUUUUAUUCAUUGAAUGUUGCCUUAUAUAG
This is a non-coding RNA of Corylus avellana, 1877 nucleotides long. The record is from RefSeq and is a predicted model, not a curated record. NCBI's taxonomy places the organism in Eukaryota, Viridiplantae, Streptophyta, Magnoliopsida, Fagales, Betulaceae.